UCCCUGGUGGUCCAGUGGUUAAGACUCUGUGCUCCCAAUACAGGGGGCCCAGGUUCAAUCCCUGUUUAAGGGA
This is a non-coding RNA of Bos taurus (domestic cattle), 73 nucleotides long. NCBI's taxonomy places the organism in Eukaryota, Metazoa, Chordata, Mammalia, Artiodactyla, Bovidae. The record is from Rfam.